CCUACGGGUGGCUGCAGUGAGGAAUAUUGGUCAAUGGGCGCGAGCCUGAACCAGCCAAGUGGCGUGAAGGAUGAAGGCUCUAUGGUUUGUAAACUUCUUUUAUAUGGGAAUAACGUGAGGAACGUGUUCCUUUUUGUAUGUACCUUAUGAAUAAGAAUCGGCUAACUCCGUGCCAGCAGCCGCGGUAAUACGGAGGAUGCGAGCGUUCUCCGGUUUUAUUGGGUUUAAAGGGUGAGUAGGGGGUUAGUUAAGUCAGGGGUGAAAGUUUGCGGCUCAACCAUAAAAUUGCCGUUGAUACUGGUUGUCUUGAGUAUAUUUGAGGUAGGCGGAAUGCGUGGUGUAGCGGUGAAAUGCAUAGAUAUCACGCAGAACUCCGAUUGCGAAGGCAGCUUACUAAACUACAACUGACAUUGAUGCACGAAAGUGUGGGUAUCAAACAGGAUUAGAUACCCGUGUAGUC
RNAcentral lists this ribosomal RNA (460 nucleotides) under uncultured bacterium. RNAcentral describes it as "partial 16S ribosomal RNA". It matches the Rfam family "Bacterial small subunit ribosomal RNA", at positions 338 to 795 of the family's 1533-position model. The record is from RNAcentral.